GAUGCUAAUAACAUGUUAAUUGCAUGAAUCAAGUUCCAAUUUGGUGAUUUCUUGCAAUAGUAGCAUGUUAAGGCUCAAAUUGGGGUUUUGCAAUAUGUAGAGGUUUGAUCUAAAUUGAGCAUGUAUAAACCUAAUUGCUAGGUUUUCUGAUGAGUUGGCGAAGUCGGUUCGGCGAUACGACGAGGCUACGCGAAGAUAUUGAAGAAAAGGCCGAUUUCGGUACAGAUUGUCGCAGCUCGCGGCGUAA
Molecule: long non-coding RNA, 247 nt
Filed under: Ananas comosus (pineapple)
Lineage: Eukaryota; Viridiplantae; Streptophyta; Magnoliopsida; Poales; Bromeliaceae
Description: long non-coding RNA (ACOM_LNC018009)
Source: RNAcentral